UCUGUCAAUGAUGACAAAUUUCUCACCCUUGCUCGAGUUUAACGACCAUGAGAAAACUCACAUGCACUACCAUCUGAGACAGG
This is a small nucleolar RNA of Chelmon rostratus (copperband butterflyfish), 83 nucleotides long. The record is from RefSeq and is a predicted model, not a curated record. NCBI's taxonomy places the organism in Eukaryota, Metazoa, Chordata, Actinopteri, Chaetodontiformes, Chaetodontidae.